This 2939-nucleotide ribosomal RNA is filed under the name Providencia stuartii. RNAcentral describes it as "bacterial LSU rRNA". It matches the Rfam family "Bacterial large subunit ribosomal RNA". The record is from RNAcentral. Lineage: Bacteria; Pseudomonadati; Pseudomonadota; Gammaproteobacteria; Enterobacterales; Morganellaceae.
GGGUUGUGAGGUUAAGCGACUAAGCGUACACGGUGGAUGCCUAGGCAAUCAGAGGCGAUGAAGGACGUGCUAAUCUGCGAAAAGCGUCGGUAAGGUGAUAUGAACCGUUAUAGCCGACGAUGUCCGAAUGGGGAAACCCAGUGCAAUUCGUUGCACUAUCGUUUGAUGAAUCCAUAGUCAAACGAGGCGAACCGGGGGAACUGAAACAUCUCAGUACCCCGAGGAAAAGAAAUCAACCGAGAUUCCCCUAGUAGCGGCGAGCGAACGGGGAGCAGCCCAGAGUCUUAAUCAGCAUCAGCAUCAGGAGAACGGUCUGGAAAGGCCGGCAAUAAAGGGUGAUAGCCCCGUAUCCGAAGGUGUUGGUGUUGUGAACUCGACGAGUAGGGCGGGACACGUGUUAUCCUGUCUGAAUAUGGGGGGACCAUCCUCCAAGGCUAAAUACUCCUGAUUGACCGAUAGUGAACCAGUACCGUGAGGGAAAGGCGAAAAGAACCCCGGCGAGGGGAGUGAAAUAGAACCUGAAACCGUGUACGUACAAGCAGUGGGAGCCUUGAUUUAUCAGGGUGACUGCGUACCUUUUGUAUAAUGGGUCAGCGACUUAUAUUCUGUAGCAAGGUUAACCGAAUAGGGGAGCCGUAGGGAAACCGAGUCUUAACUGGGCGAAUGAGUUGCAGGGUAUAGACCCGAAACCCGGUGAUCUAGCCAUGGGCAGGUUGAAGGUUGGGUAACACUAACUGGAGGACCGAACCGACUAAUGUUGAAAAAUUAGCGGAUGACUUGUGGCUGGGGGUGAAAGGCCAAUCAAACCGGGAGAUAGCUGGUUCUCCCCGAAAGCUAUUUAGGUAGCGCCUCGUGAACUCAUCUUCGGGGGUAGAGCACUGUUUCGGCUAGGGGGUCAUCCCGACUUACCAACCCGAUGCAAACUACGAAUACCGAAGAAUGUUAUCACGGGAGACACACGGCGGGUGCUAACGUUCGUCGUGAAGAGGGAAACAACCCAGACCGCCAGCUAAGGUCCCAAAGUCAUGGUUAAGUGGGAAACGAAGUGGGAAGGCUCAGACAGCCAGGAUGUUGGCUUAGAAGCAGCCAUCAUUUAAAGAAAGCGUAAUAGCUCACUGGUCGAGUCGGCCUGCGCGGAAGAUGUAACGGGGCUAAACCAUGCACCGAAGCUGCGGCAGCGACAUGUAAAUGUUGUUGGGUAGGGGAGCGUUCUGUAAGCCUGUGAAGGUGUGCUGCGAGGCAUGCUGGAGGUAUCAGAAGUGCGAAUGCUGACAUAAGUAACGAUAAUGCGGGUGAAAAACCCGCACGCCGGAAGACCAAGGGUUCCUGUCCAACGUUAAUCGGGGCAGGGUGAGUCGACCCCUAAGGCGAGGCAGAAAUGCGUAGUCGAUGGGAAACAGGUUAAUAUUCCUGUACUGGUGAUAAUUGCGAUGGGGGGACGGAGAAGGCUAGGCUGGCCGGGCGACGGUUGUCCCGGUUUAAGGAUGUAGGUGGGUGAAUUAGGCAAAUCCGGUUCGCUAUACACUGAGGUCUGAUGACGAGUCACUACGGUGGCGAAGUAGCUCAUGCCCCGCUUCCAGGAAAAGCCUCUAAGCUCUAGAUUAUCAUUAAUCGUACCCCAAACCGACACAGGUGGUCAGGUAGAGAAUACUCAGGCGCUUGAGAGAACUCGGGUGAAGGAACUAGGCAAAAUGGUGCCGUAACUUCGGGAGAAGGCACGCUGGCAUUAGGUGAAGUGGUUUACCCAUGGAGCUGAAGCCAGUCGCAGAUACCAGCUGGCUGCAACUGUUUAUUAAAAACACAGCACUGUGCAAACACGAAAGUGGACGUAUACGGUGUGACGCCUGCCCGGUGCUGGAAGGUUAAUUGAUGGGGUUAUCCGUAAGGAGAAGCUCUUGAUCGAAGCCCCAGUAAACGGCGGCCGUAACUAUAACGGUCCUAAGGUAGCGAAAUUCCUUGUCGGGUAAGUUCCGACCUGCACGAAUGGCGUAAUGAUGGCCAGGCUGUCUCCACCCGAGACUCAGUGAAAUUGAACUCGCUGUGAAGAUGCAGUGUACCCGCGGCAAGACGGAAAGACCCCGUGAACCUUUACUAUAGCUUGACACUGAACAUUGAGCCUUGAUGUGUAGGAUAGGUGGGAGGCUUUGAAGUGUGGACGCCAGUCUGCAUGGAGCCAACCUUGAAAUACCACCCUUUAAUGUUUGAUGUUCUAACGUUGCCCCAUAAUCUGGGGUGCGGACAGUGUCUGGUGGGUAGUUUGACUGGGGCGGUCUCCUCCCAAAGCGUAACGGAGGAGCACGAAGGUUGGCUAAGCAUGGUCGGACAUCAUGCGGUUAGUGCAAAGGCAUAAGCCAGCUUGACUGCGAGAGUGACGGCUCGAGCAGGUACGAAAGUAGGUCUUAGUGAUCCGGUGGUUCUGAAUGGAAGGGCCAUCGCUCAACGGAUAAAAGGUACUCCGGGGAUAACAGGCUGAUACCGCCCAAGAGUUCAUAUCGACGGCGGUGUUUGGCACCUCGAUGUCGGCUCAUCACAUCCUGGGGCUGAAGUAGGUCCCAAGGGUAUGGCUGUUCGCCAUUUAAAGUGGUACGCGAGCUGGGUUUAGAACGUCGUGAGACAGUUCGGUCCCUAUCUGCCGUGGGCGUUGGAAGAUUGAAAGGGGCUGCUCCUAGUACGAGAGGACCGGAGUGGACGCACCGCUGGUGUUCGGGUUGUCAUGCCAAUGGCACUGCCCGGUAGCUAAGUGCGGAAGAGAUAACCGCUGAAAGCAUCUAAGCGGGAAACUUGCCUUGAGAUGAGUCUUCCCUGACUCUUUAAGGGUCCUAAAGGAACGUUUAAGACGAAGACGUUGAUAGGCUGGGUGUGUAAGCGUAGCGAUACGUUGAGCUAACCAGUACUAAUGAACCGUGAGGCUUAACCUGACAACACCGAAGGUGUUUUAG